GACGAACGCUGGCGGCGUGCCUAAUACAUGCAAGUAGAACGCUGAAGGAGGAGCUUGCUUCUCUGGAUGAGUUGCGAACGGGUGAGUAACGCGUAGGUAACCUGCCUGGUAGCGGGGGAUAACUAUUGGAAACGAUAGCUAAUACCGCAUAAGAGUAGAUGUUGCAUGACAUUUGCUUAAAAGGUGCAAUUGCAUCACUACCAGAUGGACCUGCGUUGUAUUAGCUAGUUGGUGGGGUAACGGCUCACCAAGGCGACGAUACAUAGCCGACCUGAGAGGGGGAUCGGCCACACUGGGACUGAGACACGGCCCAGACUUCUACGGGAGGCAGCAGGAGGGAAUCUUCGGCAAUGGACGGAAGUCUGACCGAGCAACGCCGCGUGAGGGAAGAAGGUUCUCGGAUCGUAAAGCUCUGUUGUAAGAGAAGAACGAGUGUGAGAGUGGAAAGUUCACACUGUGACGGUAUCUUACCAGAAAGGGACGGCUAACUACGUG
Molecule: ribosomal RNA, 495 nt
Filed under: uncultured bacterium
Lineage: Bacteria
Description: partial 16S ribosomal RNA
Rfam family: Bacterial small subunit ribosomal RNA
Source: RNAcentral